This 485-nucleotide ribosomal RNA is filed under the name uncultured bacterium. RNAcentral's name for it is "bacterial SSU rRNA". It matches the Rfam family "Bacterial small subunit ribosomal RNA", at positions 28 to 510 of the family's 1533-position model. The record is from RNAcentral.
GACGAACGCUGGCGGCGUGCCUAACACAUGCAAGUCGAGCGGGGUUGAGGCGAGAGGUAACUCGAGCUUCUACCUAGCGGCGGACGGGUGAGUAACGCGUGGGCAACCUGCCUCAAGGUUUGGGAUAACAGCCCGAAAGGGCUGCUAAUACCGGAUAUGCCUAUGGCCUCGCAUGGGGCUAUGAGCAAAGGGGAAACCCGCCUUGAGAUGGGCCCGCGUCCCAUCAGCUAGUUGGUGAGGUAACAGCUCACCAAGGCGACGACGGGUAGCCGGCCUGAGAGGGUGACCGGCCACACUGGGACUGAGACACGGCCCAGACUCCUACGGGGGGCAGCAGUGGGGGAUCUUGCACAAUGGGCGAAAGCCUGAUGCAGCGACGCCGCGUGAGCGAAGAAGGCCUUCGGUGUUAAAGCUCUGUCUGGAGGGACGGAACCAAAAUAGAACGGUACCUACCCGGAGGAAAGGCCACGGCUAACCGUACGUAG